GCGAGUAUGGUUUAGAGGUAAAACAUCACCUUGCCAAGGUGAGGUCACGGGUUCGAUUCCCGUUACUCGCU
This 71-nucleotide transfer RNA is filed under the name Corynoplastis japonica. RNAcentral's name for it is "tRNA-Gly". It matches the Rfam family "tRNA". From Rfam's summary of the family: Transfer RNA (tRNA) molecules are approximately 80 nucleotides in length. Their secondary structure includes four short double-helical elements and three loops (D, anti-codon, and T loops). Lineage: Eukaryota; Rhodophyta; Rhodellophyceae; Rhodellales; Rhodellaceae. The record is from RNAcentral.